UCCAAGGCUAAAUACUCCUGACUGACCGAUAGUGAACCAGUACCGUGAGGGAAAGGCGAAAAGAACCCCUGUGAGGGGAGUGAAAUAGAUCCUGAAACCGCAUGCAUACAAGCAGUGGGAGCACCUUCGUGGUGUGACUGCGUACCUUUUGUAUAAUGGGUCAGCGACUUAUAUUCAGUAGCGAGGUUAACCGUAUAGGGGAGCCGUAGAGAAAUCGAGUCUUAAUAGGGCGUUUAGUUGCUGGGUAUAGACCCGAAACCAGGCGAUCUAUCCAUGAGCAGGUUGAAGGUUGGGUAACACUAACUGGAGGACCGAACCCACUGUCGUUGAAAAGCCAGGGGAUGACUUGUGGAUAGGGGUGAAAGGCUAAUCAAGCCUGGUGAUAGCUGGUUCUCCCCGAAAGCUAUUUAGGUAGCGCCUCGGACGAAUACCAUAGGGGGUAGAGCACUGUUUCGGCUAGGGGGUCAUCCCGACUUACCAAACCGAUGCAAACUCCGAAUACCUAUGAGUACUAUCCGGGAGACAGACUGCGGGUGCUAACGUCCGUAGUCAAGAGGAAAACAAUCCAGACCGCCAGCUAAGGCCCCAAAAUCAUAGUUAAGUGGGAAACGAUGUGGGAAGGCAUAGACAGCUAGGAGGUUGGCUUAGAAGCAGCCACCCUUUAAAGAAAGCGUAAUAGCUCACUAGUCGAGUCGGCCUGCGCGGAAGAUGUAACGGGGCUAAAACUAUGUGCCGAAGCUGCGGAU
Molecule: ribosomal RNA, 746 nt
Filed under: Acinetobacter baumannii
Lineage: Bacteria; Pseudomonadati; Pseudomonadota; Gammaproteobacteria; Moraxellales; Moraxellaceae
Description: partial 23S ribosomal RNA
Rfam family: Bacterial large subunit ribosomal RNA
Source: RNAcentral